This 261-nucleotide ribosomal RNA is filed under the name uncultured bacterium. RNAcentral describes it as "partial 16S ribosomal RNA". It matches the Rfam family "Bacterial small subunit ribosomal RNA", at positions 524 to 784 of the family's 1533-position model. The record is from RNAcentral.
UACGAAGGGGGCUAGCGUUGCUCGGAAUCACUGGGCGUAAAGCGCACGUAGGCGGCUUUGUAAGUUAGAGGUGAAAGCCCGGGGCUCAACCCCGGAAUUGCCUUUAAGACUGCAUCGCUUGAAUCCGGGAGAGGUGAGUGGAAUUCCGAGUGUAGAGGUGAAAUUCGUAGAUAUUCGGAAGAACACCAGCGGCGAAGGCGGCUCACUGGACCGGUAUUGACGCUGAGGUGCGAAAGCGUGGGGAGCAAACAGGGAUUGAGA